Molecule: ribosomal RNA, 458 nt
Filed under: Streptococcus sanguinis
Lineage: Bacteria; Bacillati; Bacillota; Bacilli; Lactobacillales; Streptococcaceae
Description: bacterial SSU rRNA
Rfam family: Bacterial small subunit ribosomal RNA
Source: RNAcentral
GACGAACGCUGGCGGCGUGCCUAAUACAUGCAAGUAGAACGCUGAAGAGAGGAGCUUGCUCUUCUUGGAUGAGUUGCGAACGGGUGAGUAACGCGUAGGUAACCUGCCUGGUAGCGGGGGAUAACUAUUGGAAACGAUAGCUAAUACCGCAUGAUAUUAAUUAUCGCAUGAUAAUUGAUUGAAAGAUGCAAUUGCAUCACUACCAGAUGGACCUGCGUUGUAUUAGCUAGUUGGUGAGGUAACGGCUCACCAAGGCGACGAUACAUAGCCGACCUGAGAGGGUGAUCGGCCACACUGGGACUGAGACACGGCCCAGACUCCUACGGGAGGCAGCAGUAGGGAAUCUUCGGCAAUGGGGGGAACCCUGACCGAGCAACGCCGCGUGAGUGAAGAAGGUUUUCGGAUCGUAAAGCUCUGUUGUAAGAGGAGAACGGGUGUGAGAGUGGAAAGUCACACUG